This 499-nucleotide ribosomal RNA is filed under the name uncultured bacterium. RNAcentral's name for it is "partial 16S ribosomal RNA". It matches the Rfam family "Bacterial small subunit ribosomal RNA", at positions 30 to 523 of the family's 1533-position model. The record is from RNAcentral.
AUUGAACGCUGGCGGCAGGCCUAACACAUGCAAGUCGAGCGGUAGAGAGAAGCUUGCUUUUCUUGAGAGCGGCGGACGGGUGAGUAAUGCCUCGGAAUCUGCCUGGUAGUGGGGGAUAACGUUCGGAAACGGACGCUAAUACCGCAUACGUCCUACGGGAGAAUGUGGGGGAUCUUCGGACCUGACGCUAUCAGAUGAGCCGAGGUAGGAAGAGCUAGUUGGUGGGGUAAUGGGUCACCAAGGCGACGAUCCGUAACUGGUCUGAGAGGAUGAUCAGUCACACUGGGACUGAGACACGGUCCAGACUCCUACGGGAGGCAGCAGUGGGGAAUAUUGGACAAUGGGCGCAAUCCUGAUCCAGCCAUGCCGCGUGUGUGAAGAAGGUCUUCGGGUUGUAAAGCUCUUGUGUCAGGGAAGAAACAGCAGCUCUAACGCAGUCUGCGAAUGACGGUACCUGAAGAAUAAGCACCGGCUAACUACGUGCCAGCCGCCGCAGUAA